Molecule: ribosomal RNA, 467 nt
Filed under: uncultured bacterium
Lineage: Bacteria
Description: partial 16S ribosomal RNA
Rfam family: Bacterial small subunit ribosomal RNA
Source: RNAcentral
GACGAACGCUGGCGGCGUGCUUAACACAUGCAAGUCGAACGAUGACGACCGAGCUUGCUCGGUCUGAUUAGUGGCGAACGGGUGAGUAACACGUGAGCAACCUGCCCUUCACUCUGGGAUAACCUCGGGAAAUCGGGGCUAAUACCGGAUAUGAGCUCCUGUCGCAUGGCGGGUGUUGGAAAGUUUUUCGGUGAAGGAUGGGCUCGCGGCCUAUCAGUUUGUUGGUGAGGUAGUGGCUCACCAAGGCGAUGACGGGUAGCCGGCCUGGGAGGGCGACCGGCCACACUGGGACUGAGACACGGCCCAGACUCCUACGGGAGGCAGCAGUGGGGAAUAUUGCACAAUGGGCGAAAGCCUGAUGCAGCGACGCCGCGUGAGGGAUGACGGCCUUCGGGUUGUAAACCUCUUUCAGCAGGGAAGAAGCGAAAGUGACGGUACCUGCAGAAGAAGCGCCGGCUAACUACGUG